This 301-nucleotide ribosomal RNA is filed under the name uncultured bacterium. Its description in RNAcentral is "partial 16S ribosomal RNA". It matches the Rfam family "Bacterial small subunit ribosomal RNA", at positions 509 to 807 of the family's 1533-position model. The record is from RNAcentral.
CAGUCGCCGUGGUAAUACGUAGGGUGCAAGCGUUAAUCGGAAUUACUGGGCGUAAAGCGUGCGCAGGCGGUUUGUUAAGACAGAUGUGAAAUCCCCGGGCUCAACCUGGGAACUGCAUUUGUGACUGGCAAGCUAGAGUAUGGCAGAGGGGGGUGGAAUUCCGCGUGUAGCAGUGAAAUGCGUAGAUAUGCGGAGGAACACCGAUGGCGAAGGCAGCCCCCUGGGCCAAUACUGACGCUCAUGCACGAAAGCGUGGGGAGCAAACAGGAUUAGAUACCCCGGUAGUCCCUGUCUCUUAUAC